GGCUCAGGAUGAACGCUGGCGGCGUGCUUAACACAUGCAAGUCGAACGAAGCACUACGACAGAAGCCUCGGGUGGAAGAUGUUGUGACUGAGUGGCGGACGGGUGAGUAACGCGUGGGAAACCUGCCCUAUGCAGGGGGAUAACAGUCGGAAACGACUGCUAAUACCGCAUAAGCGCACAGCAUCGCAUGAUGCAGUGUGAAAAGCCUUUACGGCAUAGGAUGGUCCCGCGUCUGAUUAGCUAGUUGGUGAGGUAACGGCCCACCAAGGCGACGAUCAGUAGCCGACCUGAGAGGGUGAACGGCCACAUUGGGACUGAGACACGGCCCAAACUCCUACGGGAGGCAGCAGUGGGGAAUAUUACACAAUGGGGGAAACCCUGAUGCAAGCGACGCCGCGUGAGCGAUGAAGUAUUUCGGUAUGUAAAGCUCUAUCAGCAGGGAAGAAAAUGACGGUACCUGACUAAGAAGCACCGGCUAAAUACGUGCCAGCCGCGGC
RNAcentral lists this ribosomal RNA (497 nucleotides) under uncultured bacterium. RNAcentral's name for it is "bacterial SSU rRNA". It matches the Rfam family "Bacterial small subunit ribosomal RNA", at positions 21 to 518 of the family's 1533-position model. The record is from RNAcentral.